This 1016-nucleotide long non-coding RNA is filed under the name Chlamydomonas reinhardtii. RNAcentral's name for it is "long non-coding RNA (CREI_LNC000434)". Lineage: Eukaryota; Viridiplantae; Chlorophyta; Chlorophyceae; Chlamydomonadales; Chlamydomonadaceae. The record is from RNAcentral.
GGAGCAGGAGUAGUGCCGCGUGUACUUUGCACGUGCGGCGUGCGGCGCGGUACCUUUCGCAACUACCAACGACCUAACUAACACACCUGGAUCACAAACGGGCUUUCGCGCAACUGCCAACGAACAGGGGUGGCACGUGGCGUGACGGUUGGCGCUCAGCGCGACUGGGAGCUGGUAGUUAAGAGGGGGCGCGUGUGGGAAGCUGCUGUGGAGUACGGCGGAGCUCGGCGGGGGUGGCGGUUGGCGCGCAGUGCGAGUGGGAGUGCGUAGUUGGACAGCGAGGCGAGUGGGAAGCUGCAACAGAGUAUGGCGGAGCUCGGCGGAGGCUGGCGGUUGGCGCGCAGUGCGAGUGGGAGUGCAUAGUCGUGCGCGUGUCGUUGGGGAAGCUGUGUGUGAGCUGCGUGUGAACUCAGAGAGAAGCAUGGGGCUGACCCCUGUCCAUGGGCUGCCUCUAAGCGCACACGGUUUCACACGGUUGACACGGGUACCUCCGCGGGGCGGCGCCCCCUGGCGCCGCCCCGCGUGUGAGUUCGUGUGAGGAUGCGGAUGACUGCGACCUAGAUGCGGGGGAAACAUGUCCGGUUGCGCGACGCGCAAAGCGCGCCGUGGCGGAGCGUUUCCCUCCCCAGGCUGGUGGCGAUUGCAUCAGAGCGCACACGGUUUCACACGGCUGCCAAAGGGACGGUCGCUGCUGGGGCGGCGGCAGGGGGCUGAAGAGAAGGAACUAGCUGGAGUGCAUGAGAGUCGCUGGUGUGCACGCGCGGGCGGGGCGCAGGGGAACUCGGCGGAAACUCGGCGGAAACUGGUGGGGAAUUCGUGCAAAACUCGCGUGAAACUCGGGCGAAAUUCCAGCAAAACUUGGGAGUUGCACCAGGCUGCGAGAGCGUAAAAAUAAUUGCAGAAUUUGAUAUAUGUUGCGAGAUAUAUAAACAUGGAUGCAUCAGGUUACUUUCAUCGCCUUGCGCAGCGCGCGAUAGGCGUCCUCAUGCAGCUGGUUCGCAGGCAGCCAUUCCGCU